ACCAGGGAGGUGGAGGUUGCAGUGAACUGAGAUGGUGCCGUUGCACUCCAGCCUGGGCGACAGAGCAAGACUCCGUCUCCAAAAAAAAAAAAAGAAAAUUCUGGCCACCCUGGGCUACAUCCUAAGCUCCUGCCACAUGGUGGCCCCGUAGCCUAUGACUUCUUGUUUAAUCAUCACACCAUCCCCAUAGCAAAUUAGAUGUUCCCAUUUUACAGGUGAGUAAACUGAGUCUAAGAAAGAAUAAGGGACUUGGAGCCCUGUAGUGGGCAGAGCCAGGUCUGGAAGCCGGCCAGUCGGCGCCAGUUUUUAUGGGUGUCCUCCCAGUCCCUGCCUAUGAUCCCUCACACCCUCAGCCUCUCUCCUUCACCUUCUUGUUCUUGGAGAAUGGCUCAUUUGGUAACCAUGGGGUUGUCAUUUAUGGAGUGACUAAGUGGUGACACAGGAGGCCCGUGCUGUUGAAAGAGGAAUUUAUCACCGAUGCUUGCUGUGGGAGAAGGGGCUCGUCACACCACACGGGGGGAACACGGAUUGGGCAGGAGCGGGAGUAAGGCCAGGCUGAGGCCAUGGCCUUUAUUGGAGUUUCCAGGCACAGUGGGGCAGGGCACACCUGGGGAUUGGCUAGCUCAUUCCAGGGGACUUCAGGCUACAGGAGUGGUCUCUGGUCACCUGGCACCUGUGGUUUGUGUCCCCUCCAAAAUUCAGUAUUAAGAGAUGUGGCCAUUAAGAGGCGUGCUUGGGGCUGGACCAGUGGCUCACACCUGUAAUCCCAGCGCUUUGAGAAGCCAAGGCAGGAGGAGCGCUUGAGCCCAGGAGGUCAAGGCUGCAGUGGGCUAUGAUCAUGCCACUGCACUCCAGCCUGGGAGACAGAGCAAAACACUACCUGAAAAAAGAGAUGUGGUUAGGCCAUGAGGGCUCCUUGUGAAUGGGAUCUGGGCAGGGGGAGGCUGGCUGGUUCACUUGCUCUUUUGUCAUGUGAGGAUGCAGGAGGAAGGCCCUCACCAGACACCAGGUGCCAGCGCCUUGAUCUUGGACUUCCCAGCCUGUGGAACUAUGAGAAAAUGAAAUACUGCUCUCUGUACAUCACCCAGGCUGGGGUCUUCUGUUGCAGCCACACGGAUGGCCUGAGAUGCAAGACCCUGCCUCUAAAAUAUAAAUAAAACAAAAGGCUGUAUAGUGCAUGAUUCUUUCCUAUGAAAAUUCCGGAACAGGCAAAUCCACAGAGACAGGACAUGGAUUAGUGGUUCUGGGGGCUGGGGAGGGAUGGAGAGAACGCUGAAGUGGAUGGGUUUCUUUUUGGGGUGGUGGAAACGUUCUGAAAUUAGGUAGAAGGGAUGUUUGCACAGCCUUGUAAAUGUGCUAGAUUCCACCGAACGGUGCACUUUAAAGCGGGGAUGUUACAGUGUGGACUUAUCUCAAUCUUUAAAAAAUAUUAUCUAUCGAUGACACCCAGUUUCUGACUCCGGCUCAGGCCUCUCCCUGGAGAGUCUUGUCCCCUGCAUACAGCGGCCCGUGCAGCACGCUCUGUGGAUGUCUGACUGGCAUUUCAAAGAUGGAUCAUAUCCAAGUCCAAACACCUGCGCGCUUCUCCAAAACCCCUUCAUCCUGCUGACUUCCCCACGGCAGGCAGGGCUGCCUGCAGUCCUUCGUGCGGAUCCCAAACUGGGGAGCCAGCCCGGUCUCCUCUCCUCCUUCUGACCUUGAGCGCAGGCGCCUGCACGCGCACCGCCUCUACCGCGCGCCAGCCUGCCUCCUCUGUAUUUUGGACCUGCACGAUUCCUUCUGCUCUCGCCCCCAUUUCCGUCCGCGCACAGCGCCAAAGAGGCCCCAUCACAACGUAGCCUGUGCCCCUCCUCCGCUGGAAACCCCCGUGGGGUCUCAGGACAAGCCGGAGCCCCUGCGAUGGCCUGUGACAUCCAUCACGGUGUCCCCUGUCCCACCCUCUAUUCUCUGCCCUGCGAUGGCCUGUGACGUCCAUCAUGGUGUCCUCUACCCCCUGUUCCACCCCCUUUAUUCUGUGACCCCAUCUCCCUUCAUUCCUUCCGCUCUAGUCGCACUGCCUUCUGGACCAUUCCAGAUUCUGGGCGUUCCACCCUCAGGCCCUUCCCAUGCAGUUCCCUCUGCUCAAAUGCGCUUCCCUGUUUCCCCAGCUUUGUGUCUUCACCCUCCUCCUCACCCACCAGGCUGGCCAUGACCAGCCCGUGAGAAAGUGCAAUCCCCGGCUCUCACCGCCUGCCCUGUUCUUCCCAACGGCAUGAGAACCAUCAGAUCGCAUUGAGUUAUUUUGCUUACCCCGUGUCUCCGUGGACUAUCGCGCAGCGCCCUCCUGGAGGACAGGACGUUGGUUAUUCCCCGAUGCUGUGACAGCGCCCGUGACAGCAGCCGGCCCCCAGAAGCACCCAGGAAGUAUUUAUCCAGUGACUCAAUGAAUUUGCCCCCGGAUCGCCCAGGGCUGCUUUCACUUUCUGUUGAGGGUCUGGCACCCACAAAUCCCCUUCCUGCCUCUGUGGAUUGGCCUCUCCUGGACAUUCUAUAGAAAUGGAAUCACAUACUGUGUCCGGCUUCUCUCACAGAGUGUGAUGUGCUCAAGGUUCAUCCAUGCAGCGUGUGCUGGAGUGUCUUUUUUUUUUUCUUUUGAUGGCAAAAUAUAUAUAACCUAAAAUUUUCCAUUUAACCUUAACAAAUGCCUUUUGAUCCACCCGUAACAGCAGGGAUUCUCAACCCGGGGUCUGGGAAACGUAAGGUAACUACAGGCACAUCUGUGUCUGUCAUUUUCAGGGGAUCAAGGCAGGGCGGGAGGCCACAGCUUUCAUCUGACUCUAAAUUGUGGGAAGGCAAGAGGGGAUCAGCGUGACCACCCACACUGGGAACCUGGGGAGGGCUGUGGGCCUUGCCCUGUCACACCUGAGACCUGGCAGAAGCAGCAGUGUUGGCUGCCGACCAUCUGCAGAGCUAGGUUCUAAUCCCUAGUCCCUAGCCCCAGGGACCCUAGCCUGUCCUUCCCAGAUCUGAGCUUCUCAACAGCCACAGUUUUUAAGAGACGGGGUCUCACUGUAUUGCCCAGGCUGGUCUCCAACUACUGGGCUCAAGUGAGCCUCCCAAAGUGCUGGGAUUACAGGUGCGAGCCACUGCUCUGGCCAACAGCAGCACUUUUGACGUUUGGGGCUGGAUUAUUCUCUGCAGUGGAGUCAUUCUUGGCACUGCAGGGUGCUUAGCAGCGUCCCUGGCCUCCACCCACUCCAUGCCAGGAGCUACCCUAAAUGGUGACAACCACGAAUGUCCUCAGACAUCACCCAGUGUCUCCUGGGGGCAAAAUCUGCCCUCUUUGAGAACCACUGCCGUGGGCUGCCUGGGUUUUGGUGUCUGUAUGAGUUAUGCUGUGGGGUGUUCUUCCCAGGAGCUGUGUUUUUGCUGGCUCUGCUCCUGAAACCACAGUGUGGCAGAUUGUUGCCAAAAUGCCCUCAUCCUUCAUCCCCCCUUAUAUCCAUGCCCUUCCCACCAUGUCCUUGCUACUCUACCAGUCCAGAAGUGGAGACCGCUCCCCUGGCCCUUGCAUCUGGGCUUCCUUGCCCUGCCUUGGACAGGCUGCAGUGGAAGUGACGCUGUGACUGCCCUGAGCCCAAGCUUAAGAGACCUUGCCUGCAUCUGCUCCAUCUUGUGGGACCCUGCAUGGUGAAGGACCCAAGGCUGGCCUGCCGGAGGAGAUACAAGGAGAAGAAGAACCACAGUGCCCCAUCCAACAGGUAGCUGCCCUCCAGGGGCAGAGAAGCCCAGCCAUGGUCAGGAGAGCCGUCCAGCUGAGGCCCACCUUCACCAGGAUUGCCGCCCAGCUGGCCAGGAGAGCCACCCAACUGAGCCCCACCUCCACCAGGAUUGCCGCCCAGCUGGCCAGGAGAGCCACCCAACUGAGCCCCACCUCCACCAGGAUUGCCGCCCAGCUGGCCAGGAGAGCCACCCAACUGAGCCCCACCUCUACCAGGAUUGCCACCCAACUGAGCCCCACCUCCACCAGGAUUGCCACCCAGUUGAACCCCACCUCAGCCAGGAGAGCCACCCAGCUGAGCCCCACCUCAGCCAGGAGAGUCACCCAGCUGAGCUGUGCCUGGCUAGAAGAGCCACCCAGCUGAGCCGUGCCUGGCCAGGAGAGCUGCCCAGCUGAGCCCCGCCUGCAGAAUCACAAGUGACAUAAAUGAUUGUUGCUUUGAGCGAGAGGUCAGCGGACCUUUUCUGUAAAGGGCCACAUAGUAAAUAUCUUCGGCUUUGUGAGCCACACCAUGUCUGUCACGUUAGUGAACCCUGCCAUUGUAGCAAGAUGAGCCAUGGAAAAUGCGUCAUCCGAUGGGCUUGGCUGUGUGCCAAUAAAACUUUUAUUUUUUUGGACACUGAAA
This is a non-coding RNA of Chlorocebus sabaeus (green monkey), 4385 nucleotides long. Lineage: Eukaryota; Metazoa; Chordata; Mammalia; Primates; Cercopithecidae. The record is from RefSeq and is a predicted model, not a curated record.